AGGGCUGGGGCUGAGACGAUAGAGCGCAUGCCUAGAAUGCAUGAGACCCUAGGUAUAAUCCCAGCACCUCUG
RNAcentral lists this transfer RNA (72 nucleotides) under Mus musculus (house mouse). It matches the Rfam family "tRNA". From Rfam's summary of the family: Transfer RNA (tRNA) molecules are approximately 80 nucleotides in length. Their secondary structure includes four short double-helical elements and three loops (D, anti-codon, and T loops). RNAcentral also lists the same sequence under 1 other name. Lineage: Eukaryota; Metazoa; Chordata; Mammalia; Rodentia; Muridae. The record is from Rfam by way of RNAcentral.